This 676-nucleotide ribosomal RNA is filed under the name uncultured Bacteroidota bacterium. Its description in RNAcentral is "bacterial SSU rRNA". It matches the Rfam family "Bacterial small subunit ribosomal RNA", at positions 62 to 737 of the family's 1533-position model. The record is from RNAcentral. Lineage: Bacteria; Pseudomonadati; Bacteroidota.
UCGAGGGGUAGAAUUAGCUUGCUAAUUUGAGACCGGCGCACGGGUGCGUAACGCGUAUGCAAUCUGCCUUUCACAAAGGGAUAGCCCAGAGAAAUUUGGAUUAAUACCUUAUAGUAUAUUUUUGUGGCAUCACAGGAUUAUUAAAGAUUUAUCGGUGAAAGAUGAGCAUGCGUCCCAUUAGCUAGUUGGUAAGGUAACGGCUUACCAAGGCAACGAUGGGUAGGGGUCCUGAGAGGGAGAUCCCCCACACUGGUACUGAGACACGGACCAGACUCCUACGGGAGGCAGCAGUGAGGAAUAUUGGACAAUGGGCGCAAGCCUGAUCCAGCCAUGCCGCGUGCAGGAUGAAGCAUCUAUGGUGUGUAAACUGCUUUUGUACGGGAAGAAACCCCGCCACGUGUGGCGGACUGACGGUACCGUAAGAAUAAGGAUCGGCUAACUCCGUGCCAGCAGCCGCGGUAAUACGGAGGAUCCAAGCGUUAUCCGGAAUCAUUGGGUUUAAAGGGUCCGUAGGCGGACCUGUAAGUCAGUGGUGAAAUCUCCCGGCUCAACCGGGAAAUUGCCAUUGAUACUGCAGGUCUUGAAUUAUUAGGAAGUAACUAGAAUAUGUAGUGUAGCGGUGAAAUGCUUAGAUAUUACAUGGAAUACCGAUUGCGAAGGCAGGUUACUACUAAUG